RNAcentral lists this ribosomal RNA (386 nucleotides) under uncultured bacterium. Its description in RNAcentral is "partial 16S ribosomal RNA". It matches the Rfam family "Bacterial small subunit ribosomal RNA", at positions 523 to 918 of the family's 1533-position model. The record is from RNAcentral.
AUACGUAGGGGGCGAGCGUUAUCCGGAUUUAUUGGGCGUAAAGCGUGUGUAGGCGGUUUGUUAAGUUUAAGAUUAAAGCCCGAGGCUUAACCUCGGUUCGUCUUAAAAACUGGCAGACUUGAGUGCAGUAGAGGCAAGUGGAAUUUCUAGUGUAGCGGUUAAAUGCGUAGAUAUUAGAAGGAACACCAGUGGCGAAGGCGGCUUGCUGGGCUGUUACUGACGCUGAGACACGAAAGCGUGGGGAGCAAAUAGGAUUAGAUACCCUAGUAGUCCACGCCGUAAACGAUGAGUACUAAGUGUCGGGUAACCGGUGCUGAAGUUAACACAUUAAGUACUCCGCCUGAGUAGUACGGUCGCAAGGCUGAAACUCAAAGGAAUGGACGGGG